AUUGAACGCUGGCGGCAGGCCUAACACAUGCAAGUCGAGCGGAUGAAGGGAGCUUGCUCCUGGAUUCAGCGGCGGACGGGCGAGUAAUGCCUAGGAAUCUGCCUGGUAGUGGGGGAUAACGUCCGGAAACGGGCGCUAAUACCGCAUACGUCCUGAGGGAGAAAGUGGGGGAUCUUCGGACCUCACGCUAUCAGCUGAGCCUAGGUCGGAUUAGCUAGUUGGUGGGGUAAAGGCCUACCAAGGCGACGAUCCGUAACUGGUCUGAGAGGAUGAUCAGUCACACUGGAACUGAGACACGGUCCAGACUCCUACGGGAGGCAGCAGUGGGGAAUAUUGGACAAUGGGCGAAAGCCUGAUGCAGCCAUGCCGCGUGUGUGAAGAAGGUCUUCGGAUUGUAAAGCACUUUAAGUUGGGAGGAAGGGCAGUAUGUUAAUACCUUGCUGUUUUGACGGUACCAACAGAGUAAGCACCGGCUAACUUCGUG
This 484-nucleotide ribosomal RNA is filed under the name uncultured bacterium. RNAcentral's name for it is "partial 16S ribosomal RNA". It matches the Rfam family "Bacterial small subunit ribosomal RNA", at positions 30 to 507 of the family's 1533-position model. The record is from RNAcentral.